Molecule: ribosomal RNA, 925 nt
Filed under: uncultured bacterium
Lineage: Bacteria
Description: bacterial SSU rRNA
Rfam family: Bacterial small subunit ribosomal RNA
Source: RNAcentral
UCAUUGGGUUUAAAGGGUCCGUAGGCGGGCUAUUAACUCAGGGGUGAAAGUUUGCCGCUCAACGGACAAAUUGCCUUUGCUACUGAUAGUCUUGAAUUAUUAGGAAGUGGUUAGAAUAUGUAGUGUAGCGGUGAAAUGCAUAGAUAUUACAUAGAAUACCGAUUGCGAAGGCAGAUCACUACUAAUAUAUUGACCCUGAUGGACAAAAGCGUGGGGAGCGAACAGGAUUAGAUACCCUGGUAGUCCACGCCGUAAACGAUGGAUACUAGCUGUUCGGAUUUMGGUCUGAGUGGCUAAKCGAAAGUGAUAAGUAUCCCACCUGGGGAGUACGUUCGCAAGAAUGAAACUCAWAGGAAUUGACGGGGGCCCGCACAAKCGGUGGAGCAUGUGGUUUAAUUCGAUGAUACGCGAGGAACCUUACCAAGGCUUAAAUGUAGAUUGACAGGUUUAGAGAUAGACUUKUCUUCGGACAAUUUACAAGGUGCUGCAUGGKUGUCGUCAGCUCGUGCCGUGAGGUGUCAGGUUAAGUCCUAUAACGAGCGCAACCCCUGUGGUUAGUUACCAGCAUGUAAUGAUGGGGACUCUAGCCAGACUGCCGGUGCAAACCGUGAGGAAGGUGGGGAUGACGUCAAAUCAUCACGGCCCUUACGUCUUGGGCCACACACGUGCUUCAAUGGUAGGGACAGAGAGCAGCCACUGGGUGACCAGGCGCGAAUCUUCAAACCCUAUUUCAGUUCGGAUUGUAGUCUGCAACUCGACUACGUGAAGCUGGCAUCGCUAGUAAUCGGAUAUCAUCCAUGAUCCGGUGAAUACGUUCCCGGACCUUGUUCACACCGCCCGUCAAGCCAUGGAACCUGGGGGUACCUGAAGUCGGUGACCGUAAGGAGCUGCCUAGGGUAAAACUAGUAACUGGGGCCAAGUCGUA